ACUGCUCUAUUUUAUAUGUGUAUUGGUCACUCAAUAUCACUUUCUCUUGCAUCAAUAACUUUGUUUUUUUUUCGUUCAACUUAAAACUAACACUUGAUUUUCUCCCGUUCCAAAUCCCAUAUCUGGUGAUACUACAGCAAUUCUUCUCAAUGACCUUCCACGAUCUAUAAGAUGCAUUCUUUUUCUUUUGUCCAAGCUUCUUGUUUCUGUAAAAAUCUCUACUCUAAUAUCAACUUGGACUCUAUAUUCUCCUAGAUAAUCUGUUCUUUUUUUACAAUUCUU
This 282-nucleotide long non-coding RNA is filed under the name Physcomitrium patens. RNAcentral's name for it is "long non-coding RNA (PPAT_LNC013292)". Lineage: Eukaryota; Viridiplantae; Streptophyta; Bryopsida; Funariales; Funariaceae. The record is from RNAcentral.